AUCAGCAUAGUCUUGUAUAUGCAUCGAAGGUGUACCUCCAUAACUGAGUUCAUGACCCAUGCCAGAGUAGUUGGGUUGUGUUUGACUUGUUGGCGGGCGACCGAGACGAUUGAAGGGAGACAUUGGUGUGAAUGAUGCGUCGAGGAAAGGUUGGAAAGGUUGUUGUGGUGUUUGGUAGACAUUGGAUUGUUGAAGGUUUCAGUUUUGAGAUGCUUGGGCUUUUUGGCUAUGGUAUGAGGAGGGACAGUUG
This 250-nucleotide long non-coding RNA is filed under the name Lathyrus oleraceus (garden pea). RNAcentral describes it as "Pisum sativum (pea) long non-coding RNA (PSAT_LNC032582)". The record is from RNAcentral. Lineage: Eukaryota; Viridiplantae; Streptophyta; Magnoliopsida; Fabales; Fabaceae.